This 226-nucleotide long non-coding RNA is filed under the name Vigna radiata. RNAcentral's name for it is "long non-coding RNA (VRAD_LNC006575)". The record is from RNAcentral. Lineage: Eukaryota; Viridiplantae; Streptophyta; Magnoliopsida; Fabales; Fabaceae.
GCUGGGCAGUUGUUUUUGGCACCGGGCGGUUCUGCGGCUUGAGGCAAACCGUCGGGAGGCCAUUUUUGGCGUCGGGCGGUUGUCAGAUGGGCCUGGGCUUGAAUUUUGUCACUUUUCUUGGUUAUAAAUAGCCCUAGUGCAAGUUUAGAUGGAUUCUUUUGAGAGAAGGGGGCGGUCAGACCUAAUUUCACUCUCUGGGGAGGAUCUCUUGGAUGCUUAGGCUCCU